Molecule: long non-coding RNA, 361 nt
Filed under: Homo sapiens (human)
Lineage: Eukaryota; Metazoa; Chordata; Mammalia; Primates; Hominidae
Description: HSALNT0169403
Source: RNAcentral
AGUUGACCUGAGAUGAAACUUGCUAAGGCCUCCUAAGACGAUGUUGCUGGAUGUCCCCUGCUGACCCCACAGACUGGCUCCUCUGGUGUCCGCUGACUUGGCCUGGUGAGAAGGGCAGGGCCAGGCCCUUCCCUGUCUCGACCUGCAUUCCCACCCAACACAGCAAGCUAUUUUGAAAAAACUUCUCUAUCAGUUCUUGUGAGUUAUUUGUCUAAUAAACAACAUUGUGAAAAUGAAGCAUUCAUGUAUUUGUAUAUUGACAAGAGAUAACCAAUUCCCUCAACAAUUUUACAAUUUCAAAUUAGGAUAACAUCCUUUUUUGGAGCUCUUCAAACAUCUUAGGGAACACACGCACAUAUUU